UACGUAGGGUGCGAGCGUUAAUCGGAAUUACUGGGCGUAAAGCGUGCGCAGGCGGUUUGCUAAGACCGAUGUGAAAUCCCCGGGCUUAACCUGGGAACUGCAUUGGUGACUGGCAGGCUAGAGUAUGGCAGAGGGGGGGUAGAAUUCCACGUGUAGCAGUGAAAUGCGUAGAGAUGUGGAGGAAUACCGAUGGCGAAGGCAGCCCCCUGGGCCAAUACUGACGCUCAUGCACGAAAGCGUGGGGGAGCAAACAGGG
RNAcentral lists this ribosomal RNA (256 nucleotides) under uncultured bacterium. Its description in RNAcentral is "partial 16S ribosomal RNA". It matches the Rfam family "Bacterial small subunit ribosomal RNA", at positions 524 to 777 of the family's 1533-position model. The record is from RNAcentral.